UGCGUAGGCGGUUCGGCAAGUUCGGUGUGAAAUCUCCUGGCUUAACUGGGAGGGUGCGCCGAAAACUGCCGGACUAGAGUGUGGGAUAGGGAAGUGGAAUUCCUGGUGUAGCGGUGAAAUGCGUAGAUAUCAGGAGGAACACCUGCGGUGUAGACGGCUUCCUGGACCACUACUGACGCUGAGGCACGAAAGCGUGGGGAGCAAACAGGAUUAGAUACCCUGGUAGUCCACGCCCUAAACGAUGCGGACUUGGUGUUGGCCCUUCAUUGGGUCAGUGCCGCAGCUAACGCGGUAAGUCCGCCGCCUGGGGAGUACGGUCGCAAGGCUGAA
RNAcentral lists this ribosomal RNA (330 nucleotides) under uncultured bacterium. Its description in RNAcentral is "bacterial SSU rRNA". It matches the Rfam family "Bacterial small subunit ribosomal RNA", at positions 568 to 898 of the family's 1533-position model. The record is from RNAcentral.